CCAAUUGCCUUCGGCUUUGGUUGCGUUAUUCUGUUGUAAGCUCUAAAGUAUUGUCUCCGUUGCUGCAGCCAUUCGAGUCGACCGUCUGUCGUCGAGCCAACUGGCUACGCCAAAUGCGGGGUUGUGUCGUUUCCCCAUGGCCUCCUGUUCAUCUACUUCUCGCAGUGCUUUUCCUUCAACCGCUUACCGACUGUAAGGGGAACAGGAGAACAAUAAGGAGGAUAAGAGAAGAAGAGAACAAUAAGCAGGAUGGAGAAGUAGUUUCGGAGGACCGAGGAGAAGAAGAAGACGAGAGGAAGGAAAGGAGGACCGUGCGAGGAGGCGUUAAGGAAGAAGGAAGUUCAAGGAAAACCUGGGGAAAGGAUGAGAAAGCUGAGUCAGCUCGAGGAGUUGAGAAAGAUAUAUAAGAAGUAGUCCUUAGUAGAUUAGAUGCAUAGCCCCGCGCAGCCUAGUCUUCUCGAAUCCUUCAGUCUACAAAGCCACAUCGUUUACACUCAGAGCUUCUAGUUCGAUUAAAUACAAACGACCAAGGACAACGAAACUGUUGUAGCUUAAGGUACUUUCCGGCGUCUACGAGGACAGUGGUGCCGCUACACGGAUCUCCAAUGUCUGAUGGCCCUUCUCCGAUUCAACGAUAGACUGCAAAAUAGCUCUACUCAAAUCAUACCUUGACGUAGUGUAUCCGACUGAGACGUAAUAUCAAUAAACAGCGAUUGUAUGACAAUCUAUCUCUCGUCAGUAGGAGGGAAGAUUCAAUCGGUCCACAAGCGAACUAUUCGAUCGUUCUCAAGGUCUUCUUGAGCCAUGUGUUUGCGAGCCAACACAUUCCUCCCCCAAAAAUUUUUGAAGAGAGUAACGAGUUCUAACAAGUUCCUCCCAUCGUCGAUGGAAUCGGCUUCAGUCUCCUCAAAGGUAUGGGUAGAAAAUAUACUGACACCUCCACAGCGUAAGUCAAGGAACUCCUCUGCAUUGUUUUCGUCAUCAGUACUAUCUUCUAUUUGUCGAGGUCGUCGCGACAUGGCAUCCGCAACCAGAUGUUUAUUCCCAGGGACAUGUUUCAUUUCGAAGUCGUUCGACAGUAUAUACCAUACCCAUCUACCUUCAAGUCACCGAAGGGUAGCUUGGAGAGUUGAUCAUCUGUUUCAAUGAGGUGCAGUUAUGUUCGAGUAUGAAUCGGCAUCCAUGGUUCCAAGGUCGAGCAGCUUUCAUCGCAAUGAAUACACCAUACAGCUCCAGUUUUGGCUGACUAUAGCGCUGUUGAACUUCAUCAUAGUAAAUACUCGUGUAUAGACAGGCCUUCUACGACCUUUCUCAUCCAUUUGCGUAAGAUCAAGCCCACACGCAGUGUUGCUAGCAUCGACUGCAAAAAUAGGCGGGUACUUGUCUACUCCCGCUACUAAAGCCCGAGCAGCUUCCUGACUCCACUCAAAUCAGAGUCUGUUAGUUUGAGAAGGUCAUUCAUAGGUUUCACAAGCUCUCCGUAGCGACGAGUCCAUGUCCUCGCGACGCUGUUCACAUCGCAAGUGUGCUCAAAGACAAAUUUUCUCUUACCACCCUUGAUUGUUACGUCAUCUAUGUAGACUGGGAGGAUCUCGGGCUUUUCGUCUGCGACGGAAGAUGAACUCCAUCACCCUAUGGAAAGCUGUGACCGCGUUUUUCCAGCCUUGCACCAUCUUAAUAAGCCAUAACGUUCCCAUUGGGCUCUCGAAGCUGGUAACGUUGCGGGAGUCAGGACGUAGUUCUAGUUGAUCAUAUCCUGCAAAGGCAUCCAACCCGGUGUACGUAGGUGGCACGGCAGGCUAUGUAGGCUCUCAGUCAUUUCGUCCAUGUUAGGCGGUAACCCCGGUAUCGGGAAUGUUAACUGCAUUCAGUUUCUGCAAGUCGUGGACAAGCCUAAUUCUUCCCUCUUUCUUUUGUACUGCAAAGAAGGCCGACCUAUAUGGAGAUUGUGACCUCUCAUACAAGCCACUUUUUUUUCUCUUUGAGAAAAGCGAUAACAUCCUCCUUAGACUUGGCAGCCAUGCGAAUCAUCUUAUCCUGCCACGGCACAUGGGGAAUGAGG
This 2062-nucleotide small RNA is filed under the name Cryptococcus neoformans H99. RNAcentral's name for it is "Cryptococcus neoformans var. grubii H99 hypothetical RNA". Lineage: Eukaryota; Fungi; Basidiomycota; Tremellomycetes; Tremellales; Cryptococcaceae. The record is from RNAcentral.